RNAcentral lists this transfer RNA (85 nucleotides) under Deltaproteobacteria bacterium. RNAcentral's name for it is "tRNA-Leu". It matches the Rfam family "tRNA". Rfam says of the family: Transfer RNA (tRNA) molecules are approximately 80 nucleotides in length. RNAcentral also lists the same sequence under 1 other name. Lineage: Bacteria; Pseudomonadati; Myxococcota; Myxococcia. The record is from RNAcentral.
GCGAGAGUGGCGGAAUUGGUAGACGCGCUGGACUUAGGAUCCAGUCCGUUUUCGGGUGGGGGUUCGAGUCCCCCCUCUCGCACCA